Molecule: ribosomal RNA, 107 nt
Organism: Microcebus murinus (gray mouse lemur)
Lineage: Eukaryota; Metazoa; Chordata; Mammalia; Primates; Cheirogaleidae
Source: Ensembl
AUUUAUGAUCACACCACCCUGAACAUGCCUCAUCUCAUCUGAUCUCAGAAGCUAAGCAGGAUUGGGCCUGGUUAGUACUCUAAGGGAAGAACUGAGUUUCUGACAUG